UACGUAGGUGACAAGCGUUGUCCGGAUUUAUUGGGCGUAAAGGGAGCGCAGGCGGUCUGUUUAGUCUAAUGUGAAAGCCCACGGCUUAACCGUGGAACGGCAUUGGAAACUGACAGACUUGAAUGUAGAAGAGGAAAAUGGAAUUCCAAGUGUAGCGGUGGAAUGCGUAGAUAUUUGGAGGAACACCAGUGGCGAAGGCGAUUUUCUGGUCUAACAUUGACGCUGAGGCUCGAAAGCGUGGGGAGCGAACAGG
RNAcentral lists this ribosomal RNA (253 nucleotides) under uncultured bacterium. RNAcentral's name for it is "partial 16S ribosomal RNA". It matches the Rfam family "Bacterial small subunit ribosomal RNA", at positions 524 to 776 of the family's 1533-position model. RNAcentral also lists the same sequence under 2 other names. The record is from RNAcentral.